GACGAACGCUGGCGGCGUGCUUAACACAUGCAAGUCGAACGGAAAGGCCCUGCUUUUGUGGGGUGCUCGAGUGGCGAACGGGUGAGUAACACGUGAGUAACCUGCCCUUGACUUUGGGAUAACUUCAGGAAACUGGGGCUAAUACCGUAUAGGAGCUCCUGCUGCAUGGUGGGGGUUGGAAAGUUUCGGCGGGUGGGGAUGGACUCGCGGCUUAUCAGCUUGUUGGUGGGGUAGUGGCUUACCAAGGCUUUGACGGGUAGCCGGCCUGAGAGGGUGACCGGCCACAUUGGGACUGAGAUACGGACCAGACUCCUACGGGAGGCAGCAGUGGGGAAUAUUGCACAAUGGGCGGAAGCCUGAUGCAGCAACGCCGCGUGCGGGAUGACGGCCUUCGGGUUGUAAACCGCUUUCGCCUGUGACGAAGCGUGAGUGACGGUAAUGGGUAAAGAAGCACCGGCUAACUACGUG
Molecule: ribosomal RNA, 468 nt
Filed under: uncultured bacterium
Lineage: Bacteria
Description: partial 16S ribosomal RNA
Rfam family: Bacterial small subunit ribosomal RNA
Source: RNAcentral